CGUGGGUAACCCACCCUUGAGACCGGGAUACCCUCUCGAAAGGGAGGCUAAUACUGGAUACGUUCCCCGGGACGCAAGAUCUGGGGAGGAAAGGUGGCGAAAGCUGCCGCUCUUGGAGGGGCUCGCGGCCUAUCAGCUAGUUGGUGAGGUAACGGCUCACCAAGGCUAUGACGGGUAGCUGGUCUGAGAGGACGACCAGCCACACGGGAACUGAGACACGGUCCCGACUCCUACGGGAGGCAGCAGUGGGGAAUUUUCCGCAAUGGGCGAAAGCCUGACGGAGUGACGCCGCGUGGGGGACGAAGGCCUUCGGGUCGUAAACCCCUGUCAGAGGGAAAGAAGGGUGUCGGCGUGAAUAGCGCCGGCAUCUGACGGUACCUUCAGAGGAAGCCCCGGCCAACUCUGUGCCAGCAGCCGCGGUAAGACAGAGGGGGCAAGCGUUGCUCGGAAUCACUGGGCGUAAAGGGCGCGUAGGCGGGAUGGCAAGUCGGUCGUGAAAUCCUUCGGCUCAACCGAAGAACGUCGGCCGAUACUGCCGUUCUUGAGGGAUGCAGAGGAGAUUGGAAUUCCCGGUGUAGCGGUGAAAUGUGUAGAGAUCGGGAGGAACACCGGUGGC
Molecule: ribosomal RNA, 616 nt
Filed under: uncultured bacterium
Lineage: Bacteria
Description: bacterial SSU rRNA
Rfam family: Bacterial small subunit ribosomal RNA
Source: RNAcentral